This 30-nucleotide non-coding RNA is filed under the name Homo sapiens (human). Lineage: Eukaryota; Metazoa; Chordata; Mammalia; Primates; Hominidae. The record is from RNAcentral.
UGGGCAGCACAGGUUUCAUUAUUGAGAUGU